RNAcentral lists this ribosomal RNA (99 nucleotides) under Bacillaceae bacterium HSR45. Its description in RNAcentral is "partial 23S ribosomal RNA". It matches the Rfam family "Bacterial large subunit ribosomal RNA", at positions 2826 to 2925 of the family's 2925-position model. The record is from RNAcentral. Lineage: Bacteria; Bacillati; Bacillota; Bacilli; Caryophanales; Bacillaceae.
UUAUAAGAUCCCUCAAAGAUGAUGAGGUUAAUAGGUUCGAGGUGGAAGCGUGGUGACACGUGGAGCUGACGAAUACUAAUCGAUCGAAGACUUAAUCAA